CGGGCAAUAGCGCAGCUGGUAGCGCGCUACGUUCGGGACGUAGAGGCCGGCGGUUCAAAUCCGCCUUGCCCGA
Molecule: transfer RNA, 73 nt
Filed under: Lachnospiraceae bacterium
Lineage: Bacteria; Bacillati; Bacillota; Clostridia; Lachnospirales; Lachnospiraceae
Also listed under: 1 other name
Description: tRNA-Pro
Rfam family: tRNA
About the family: Transfer RNA (tRNA) molecules are approximately 80 nucleotides in length. Their secondary structure includes four short double-helical elements and three loops (D, anti-codon, and T loops).
Source: RNAcentral